ACGAACGCUGGCGGCAUGCCUAACACAUGCAAGUCGAACGAGACCUUCGGGUCUAGUGGCGCACGGGUGCGUAACGCGUGGGAACCUGCCCUUAGGUUCGGAAUAACUCCCCGAAAGGGGUGCUAAUACCGGAUAAUGUCUUCGGACCAAAGAUUUAUCGCCUUUGGAUGGGCCCGCGUUGGAUUAGCUAGUUGGUAGGGUAAAAGCCUACCAAGGCGACGAUCCAUAGCUGGUCUGAGAGGAUGAUCAGCCACACUGGGACUGAGACACGGCCCAGACUCCUACGGGAGGCAGCAGUGGGGAAUAUUGGACAAUGGGCGAAAGCCUGAUCCAGAAAUGCCGCGUGAGUGAUGAAGGCCUUAGGGUUGUAAAGCUCUUUUACCCGGGAUGAUAAUGACAGUACCGGGAGAAUAAGCUCCGGCUAACUCCGUG
RNAcentral lists this ribosomal RNA (432 nucleotides) under uncultured bacterium. RNAcentral describes it as "partial 16S ribosomal RNA". It matches the Rfam family "Bacterial small subunit ribosomal RNA", at positions 29 to 507 of the family's 1533-position model. The record is from RNAcentral.